UUGUGAAUUUCCGCGUAAAUGAGGAAUCAAUCAGUCGGCCGGUGGUGAAUUAUUCCCGAAAAAGAGCGCGUCUUACCUCGUUGUCGCUACGAAAGAAAAGUGACGAAAGAAUGAUGCCUUGCUUGGUCCUGCCCGGAUAUGAGUUAUCAUCGUGCGAGGUCGACAUAACCAUGUCGACUUUGGUAACGCAACUUUCUGACUGAAUCUAGGGUAACAGUGUUACACUGUUACACUGAGUAAUGCAGUUAGCUUAUACCACACAUCUUCCCCCUUCCCAGAAAAAACAGAUAUAAAAAUCUUUGAUCACUAAGAACACUUUUAUAUGCGCAAGUUUUGGUCAUCGCACCUUUUCAUAUGUAAGGCGAGAUUUAUCAAGCAUCAAGUAUCAAGUAAUUUUAGUCAUGAGGGAGCACAAAUCCAUGCUCAGCAGCAGGGGUAGGUUUAUGACAUUUGGUAUUUGUUUUUGUUUCAUCCUCAACGAUGUAAACAGUUGAAGGAGGAAAAACUGCUGCUAAGUUACGCUGCAUAUUCUCAAGUUUUUUUAUUGAUUCAAUCACUUAAUUUCUCAUCUUGAAGAUCCGCUUACCAUCCGGAAAACUAUGCAUAUGAAGGGAGCUGUUUUGCUGUCGGAUGUAAACAACCUGAUGCAAGUGUUGCGAGGUCAUUGAACUUAAAUUUCACAUCUGCAGUGGAGAUUGUCUGUGACCGACUACUAAAAGAGAGGAUGCUGUUCACUCAUUGCAAGGAAUCUACUGUAGUUCGAGCUCAAUCAAAUGCUCAUUCUCUGAAUUGAUCCGAAGGAUAAAGGAUAUGUUAUGAUCUGAGCUGAAGGCGCUGUUGAAUGAAAAACUGCAGGAUGGACUUCGUGAAAAAGUGCAUUUCAUUGCGGACAAGCUGGAGUUUCUGGUUUCUGGAGUUUCGGAUCAUGGUAUGCCUUUCACUACAUACACUAUAUUACAAAGAAAGAUCAAAUUGCUUAAGGCUUACAUACUUUAUUAAUUACUCUUCUGUUAUUUUCGACGCGAUGGGACUUGAAUUCACCUUUUAAUAAAGUGUGGCAUGUGAUCAUUCAUUUA
Molecule: long non-coding RNA, 1076 nt
Organism: Aedes aegypti (yellow fever mosquito)
Lineage: Eukaryota; Metazoa; Arthropoda; Insecta; Diptera; Culicidae
Exons: 2
Source: RefSeq, a predicted model, not a curated record